GAGGAAGGAUAGGGGAGAGGGGUGAAGUCCCCACGAUGUGCCUAGUGCUGUCCACCGGUGCUCUGAUGUAUUUUACUGAACAACACUUGUUGGUAGGAGGAGUAACCAUAUUUUUGGACUGGGAUAGACUCUUUUUGUUGGCAAUGACUUUAUUUUCCACCCCCGGGUCUGCCCCUCUUAAAGCACUUAAAGCAGUGCCUGGUACAAGGUCAAUGAUGGACAAUGAACGCCAAACGAACUUGAGAAGUGGUUGCUGAAAGGCGCUGAUGUUUCCACGUGAGAUUUCUGGGUCACCCUCCUGGUGACUCUUGUGCCUCUGACUUCUAUCUGAUCCUAAGUCCCUGUGCAUUAAAAUACAAGCAAUUGGCUGGAUGCGGUGGCUCAUGCCUGUAACCCCAGCACUUUGGGAGGCCCAGGCGAGUGGAUUACCUGAGGUCAGGAGUUUGAGACCAGCCUGGCCAACA
Molecule: long non-coding RNA, 464 nt
Filed under: Homo sapiens (human)
Lineage: Eukaryota; Metazoa; Chordata; Mammalia; Primates; Hominidae
Description: non-protein coding lnc-PARN-15:1
Source: RNAcentral